CAGCACUCCAGAUGUUUUGGACUACACCUCCCAUGAUGCUUUGCCAGCAUUAUGGGGGAUGUAGUCUACAACAUCUGGAGUGCCA
Pelobates cultripes (western spadefoot toad) is the source of this 85-nucleotide non-coding RNA. The record is from the annotation of a GenBank genome assembly. NCBI's taxonomy places the organism in Eukaryota, Metazoa, Chordata, Amphibia, Anura, Pelobatidae.